Molecule: ribosomal RNA, 591 nt
Filed under: Pseudomonas sp. VPMK31
Lineage: Bacteria; Pseudomonadati; Pseudomonadota; Gammaproteobacteria; Pseudomonadales; Pseudomonadaceae
Description: bacterial SSU rRNA
Rfam family: Bacterial small subunit ribosomal RNA
Source: RNAcentral
GGUAGAGAGAAGCUUGCUUCUCUUGAGAGCGGCGGACGGGUGAGUAAUGCCUAGGAAUCUGCCUGGUAGUGGGGGAUAACGUUCGGAAACGGACGCUAAUACCGCAUACGUCCUACGGGAGAAAGCAGGGGACCUUCGGGCCUUGCGCUAUCAGAUGAGCCUAGGUCGGAUUAGCUAGUUGGUGAGGUAAUGGCUCACCAAGGCGACGAUCCGUAACUGGUCUGAGAGGAUGAUCAGUCACACUGGAACUGAGACACGGUCCAGACUCCUACGGGAGGCAGCAGUGGGGAAUAUUGGACAAUGGGCGAAAGCCUGAUCCAGCCAUGCCGCGUGUGUGAAGAAGGUCUUCGGAUUGUAAAGCACUUUAAGUUGGGAGGAAGGGCAGUUACCUAAUACGUGAUUGUUUUGACGUUACCGACAGAAUAAGCACCGGCUAACUCUGUGCCAGCAGCCGCGGUAAUACAGAGGGUGCAAGCGUUAAUCGGAAUUACUGGGCGUAAAGCGCGCGUAGGUGGUUAGUUAAGUUGGAUGUGAAAUCCCCGGGCUCAACCUGGGAACUGCAUUCAAAACUGACUGACUAGAGUAUGGUAG